This is a long non-coding RNA of Eriocheir sinensis (Chinese mitten crab), 411 nucleotides long. RefSeq lists it as uncharacterized. The transcript is spliced from 3 exons. The record is from RefSeq and is a predicted model, not a curated record. NCBI's taxonomy places the organism in Eukaryota, Metazoa, Arthropoda, Malacostraca, Decapoda, Varunidae.
CCAGAAUGUAACGGAGGACUCAACAGUGCUGCUAGAGACGACGCCCAAACGACAUGUCUCCAAUGGAACAGAGGGUGUCAUGAAAAAACAACAGGCAAACACAGUGGGUGUUAAUAACAUAUCAACACCUCAACGUCAUGUCUCCGAGGGAGCAGAAAGUGCUGCCACAAGUCUUCGCCGCCACAGAAAAUUUGAAACGACAUUCCCAGCACUUUCGGAGGGAACUCAGUGGCGGAAAGAAGUAUUUGCGAGGCAGCAUGAAUUAUUAGAACUGCAAAUGGAGACAGAGGCCAUGCGGCAGGAGUUGCUGAGUGCACAACUGGCAGAAACUCAAACAAAAAUGGCAGAAGCUCAAACUAGAGCAAGAAUUGCUCUGCUAGAGGAAGAGGUCCUCAAAAAUAAGUUAGCAAA